UUCUGGUCUCAAAUCAGGUAGGAUCACCCGCUGAACUUAAGCAUAUCA
RNAcentral lists this ribosomal RNA (48 nucleotides) under Malassezia sp. 3 GC-2013. RNAcentral's name for it is "partial 28S ribosomal RNA". Lineage: Eukaryota; Fungi; Basidiomycota; Malasseziomycetes; Malasseziales; Malasseziaceae. The record is from RNAcentral.